GUUGUGGCUCAGAGGUAGAGUACUUGCCUAGCAUGUGUGAGGCAGUGAGUUCGAUUCUCAGCACA
This 65-nucleotide transfer RNA is filed under the name Marmota monax (woodchuck). RNAcentral describes it as "tRNA.Ala". The record is from RNAcentral. Lineage: Eukaryota; Metazoa; Chordata; Mammalia; Rodentia; Sciuridae.